AAGAUUAAGCCAUGCAUGUCUAAGCAUGAAAUGAAAUAAAUUGAAGCCGCGAAUAGCUCAAUACAACAGCCGUUGUUUCUUGGAUCUCCGAUGUACUUGGAUAACUGAGGUAAUUCUUGAGCUAAUACACGCAAACGAGCCUCGACCGUAAGGAAAGGGCGCAUUUAUUAGAACAAAACCAAUCGGUGUCCUCGUGACGCCGUCUGUUGGCGAGUCUGAAUAACUUAGCGAAUCGUUUCGGCCUUUGUGCCGGCGAUGUAUCCUUCAAAUGUCUGCCUUAUCAACUAUCGUUGGUAGUUUAUGUGCCUACCAAGGUUGUAACGGGUAACGGAGAAUCAGGGUUUGACUCCGGAGAGGGAGCCUGAGAAACGGCUACCACUUCCAAGGAAG
This 390-nucleotide ribosomal RNA is filed under the name Capsula sp. 81L18E15. RNAcentral's name for it is "bacterial SSU rRNA". It matches the Rfam family "Eukaryotic small subunit ribosomal RNA", at positions 40 to 424 of the family's 1831-position model. Lineage: Eukaryota; Metazoa; Arthropoda; Insecta; Lepidoptera; Noctuidae. The record is from RNAcentral.